UACGUAGGCAGCAAGCGUUUUUCGGAAUUACUGGGCGUAAAGGGUGCGUAGGCGGUGCUCUAAGUUUGGUGUGAAAUCUCCCGGCUUAACUGGGAGGGUGCGCCGAAAACUGGAGCGCUUGAGUGCGGGAGAGGAAAGCGGAAUUCCUGGUGUAGCGGUGAAAUGCGUAGAGAUCAGGAGGAACACCUGCGGUGUAGACGGCUUUCUGGACCGUAACUGACGCUGAGGCACGAAAGCGUGGGUAGCAAACAGG
This 253-nucleotide ribosomal RNA is filed under the name uncultured bacterium. RNAcentral describes it as "partial 16S ribosomal RNA". It matches the Rfam family "Bacterial small subunit ribosomal RNA", at positions 524 to 776 of the family's 1533-position model. The record is from RNAcentral.